Molecule: ribosomal RNA, 253 nt
Filed under: uncultured bacterium
Lineage: Bacteria
Description: partial 16S ribosomal RNA
Rfam family: Bacterial small subunit ribosomal RNA
Source: RNAcentral
UACGUAGGGUGCAAGCGUUAAUCGGAAUUACUGGGCGUAAAGGGUGCGCAGGCGGUAUUGUAAGCCAGAUGUGAAAUCCCCGGGCUCAACCUGGGAACUGCGUUUGGAACUGCAAUGCUAGAGUGUGUCAGAGGGGGGUGGAAUUCCACGUGUAGCAGUGAAAUGCGUAGAGAUGUGGAGGAACACCGAUGGCGAAGGCAGCCCCCUGGGAUAAUACUGACGCUCAUGCACGAAAGCGUGGGUAGCAAACAGG